AAUCAUUGCCCACAAGAAGUAACCAGCUCGAAGAUUCUUCUUUGCAAGCCAAUCAUACCUAAGUGAAAAUGCUACUAGCAGUCCAGGCAAUAGGAUGUCACCAAAGCCGAUAAUGCUGUAACCACCCCAUGGAUCAAAUAGUCGUGGAAUCUUCAGCAGCAUUGGAAUACCAUCUUCUCCACUUUUAUCACCACGAGCUACCACAAUCAUCACACUUUCAUGGAAGAGACUCUGAGAAGCAAAUACCCAAAAUAUGUCGUAGAUGAAGGCGCAACCCAAAAGAACUGAACCAACCUUGAGAUUAGGUAUCCGCACAAUUUGCAGAACUGUAAUUAUAAGUGCAAUGCCAAGUAUGUCUUGACCUAUCCAGCCAAAAGAAGAAUUUCUGUACAUUGCCCAAACCACUGCAAAAGUUAUGCAGAAUGGCGAAACAGCCAAAGUAAGAUAAGAAACUGCACCAAAAAUGGGUACUUUAAUGUAUGACUCUCCCGUAGGCUUAAACCACCUAGCUAGCAAGGCAACUAAGCAAGUUUGUAGCCCCUCCACACCACCGAUGCAGAAGAGAACCACUAAGAUUUCAAAGAACCAUGUGAACCUCAUUAACUUGUACAAAACAAACAAGAAGCAAGAAGCAACAACAACAAAUAAGACUGCUGAUAUCAUGUUUAUAUCCAUCACAGUGCUUGAAUCACCAGUUCCAAAUUUUGGAAGCUCUUCCUCUGAAGCAUCCUUCAACAGCUUGUCCUGCUCUAUAGCUGCUUCUCUAGCACUCCAAGCAGACCAAUAAGAACCACACAAGAUUGUACCAACAGCCAUCAGCCACAAAAAUACUUCUGCAAUGUCCACUACUGGUCGUUUUGGAGAAUAGAGUUGCACAGUAACUGAUGAGCCAUUUAAAAGCAUUUUAUUAAGCGUUAUUCCAGCAUCCUGAGGUAGCAUAACAGCAGGAAUGUGUAUAUCUAGGUCAGUUUCUCCAGGAUCACAAACCAUCUUGUAGAGUUCUUUUUGAUUAUUUACUAUCAGGAUUGCCGAAGCCCCUGCUGCUUCAGCAUUAUUAGCCUUCGUUGUGAAUUUGCAAUGGCCGCUGGCCCGUUUUAAGUCAGAUGAAUAUAUGACAGAGAUCCUUGGCUCCUUGGAGAGCCGGGCUGCCACAGCAGUAGCUUGCUGUCUUCCGAUGUCAUUUAAUUCGACAUCUAAAUGUCCCUGAAUUCUGCCACCAGCGUUCCAUUCCGUCUCACCAUGACGGAUUACGAUAAUCUCAGUGAAAUUAGGACUCACAUUUUCAGAUUUCGCAUCUCCGCCACACUCAGGCUGCGAUAUAACCCUAGAAGUAGAAUCAGCCAUGGAAAUAUGAAGAAGAGGAGGGAUUGAAUUGGAUCUCAAGGCGGGUAUUCUGAGAGUAUGGUUGGAAAUUGCAGCAAUUGGUAACAAUUUUGAGCAACAAAAAUUGCUGGUCUGAGAGUGGCGGAGAAGCAGAUGAAUGUCAGGCUUUAG
RNAcentral lists this unclassified non-coding RNA (1494 nucleotides) under Hevea brasiliensis (rubber tree). Lineage: Eukaryota; Viridiplantae; Streptophyta; Magnoliopsida; Malpighiales; Euphorbiaceae. The record is from RNAcentral.